Molecule: long non-coding RNA, 559 nt
Filed under: Mus musculus (house mouse)
Lineage: Eukaryota; Metazoa; Chordata; Mammalia; Rodentia; Muridae
Description: predicted gene 11967 (Gm11967)
Source: RNAcentral
AGGCUACCAUGUUCUCUGAACACUGGUUGGAGCUGCUGUGGAGAGGUUGAUGAAGUGGCUGGAGCUAGCCCACUCACAUGCCCCCUUCCAGACUUGUUACAGAAGAUGAUGAUCGGAUGCUUUGAAACAGCCAGACUGCGCAUGAGCAGCAAGCAUCCUCCCAGAACAUGUCCCAGGGCGUGGUCUCUUUCCAGUCACUGCACCUUUGAGGGAAGAAUGGGAUCUAGUUGGCUAAGCACCCAGGACAACUCUGGCAACUCACCGCCCCCCCCUGUGAAUCCACCUCGUCCAGGAGUACCAUUCUGCAGUAAGGACACGUAGCUCGAUGUUCUUCCUACACUCAACAGUCACGACUGGAGAGGAGGGGACAGGACAGAAGGUGCCUUAGGGAUGAGAUCUCAUGAUGGACGCACAGGACAUGGAAAGCUGCAUGAACACUGUGUCUGCUUGGAUUUGGAGAAAAACAGAGCCUUGCAGCCAUGAGUUAGAGCAUUUUCCCAUCUUCAUCUUUCAUUUGAUAGAGGGAGUGAGUAAACUGAAGGAACCAUUUUCUGUCCUA